CGCUGGAGCUCCUUCUUGGCCUUGAAGAUGGACAGACCGCAUGAAGACUCAGAAAUGUCACCAUUUUGGCUGUAUGAAGAGAGGCAUUCAUGCUGUGUGCUGGGCAGCAUCUCUCUUCUCGUAGGUUGUCCAUCCAAUCUAAGUGUCUGAGGCUUUGCACCAAGCCUGCUUGUGUUUGUAGGCACACAACAGAAAGCGUGUCUUGAGACAACAG
RNAcentral lists this long non-coding RNA (214 nucleotides) under Mus spicilegus (steppe mouse). RNAcentral's name for it is "lncRNA (ENSMSIG00000021225.1)". Lineage: Eukaryota; Metazoa; Chordata; Mammalia; Rodentia; Muridae. The record is from RNAcentral.